GCCCUCAAGAGAUACAUAGGCCAAAGGAAAGUUCAGAGGAUGCUCGGAUUCAUAUUUAGUCACAUCUUAUAAUGAAACAAACUGUCUCUAGAACAUAUGCAUCUGAGCACUCCAGUACUCCAGUAUCCAAGGAAGGUGAACCAACCCAGGAGUCCUGUAAAUAGCCAUCCUUUCAAGUCAGCACGUAAAGUUGGAGGUGCAGCUUCAGAAGAAGGCUAGAUCUGCCUUUACCCAGAACAGUGAGUGACCUUUGAUAAAAAUGAAGAAAUAAUGACUAGAGAAAAUAUUGUCUCAAUUGUAUCAGAUUAACCAAAGCCGUUAACGUCAGAGCUUGAUGGAACAAUCACCUAUCAUUUUAAACAAAAUCAUCAGGCUGAGUUUGACAAGAGCCAGGAUUUACCACCUCUGACGUAGGACACAGGACCCCCCGAGGGAUUUUACAAGCCAUUCUGAGGAAAAUUUUGGGUCUUGUGCUCAAGGAAAUGGCUUCUUCAAGGAUUGCACAAGAUAAAUUAUACCCUCAGUUCUUUGCUUUACAUGGACAAGAGCUUUGACCUCCAAAACUGGUGAUGACGCAACCCUGCAGGGGCUUCCUUGAUGCUCCUGGGAACAGGAAACACGUGGCUCCUCGAGAGCAGAACUUUCCUGCUUUGCUCCCUUCUGGAUUCGCAACACUAACAUCAUACUUGAUAACUGGUAGGCACUCAGGAAGUGUUUCCAUAAGACCUGGAAGACAAGACAUAAUGUGGGACACAAAGGCAGACGAAGACUUAUUGCUCA
RNAcentral lists this long non-coding RNA (780 nucleotides) under Pongo abelii (Sumatran orangutan). RNAcentral's name for it is "lincRNA". The record is from RNAcentral. Lineage: Eukaryota; Metazoa; Chordata; Mammalia; Primates; Hominidae.